This 486-nucleotide ribosomal RNA is filed under the name Formica fusca complex sp. MAS-2009. RNAcentral describes it as "partial 28S ribosomal RNA". It matches the Rfam family "Eukaryotic large subunit ribosomal RNA", at positions 277 to 609 of the family's 3401-position model. The record is from RNAcentral. Lineage: Eukaryota; Metazoa; Arthropoda; Insecta; Hymenoptera; Formicidae.
AGAGUGCAGCUCUAAAGUGGGUGGUAGAUNCCNUCUAAAGCNAAAUNNGACCACGAGACUGAUAGCGAACAAGUACCUGAGGGAAAGUUGAAAAAACUUUUGAAGAGAGAGUUNNNNNGUACGNGAAACCGUUCAGGGGUAAACCUAAGAAACCCAAGGUCGAACGGGGAGAUUCAUCGUCNGCGGCGCUGGCUUCGCGUCGGUGGGCGAUGUCCCGCAGAAUNUCGCGGCUCUCGCACGNGCACGCUACCGUGCGUCGAUGUACGGCGCUCGUUGUCGUGCACUUUUCCCCAAGUAGAACNNNNNNACCCGCUGGGUGUCGGUNNNCGGGCCGGGGUGCGGUGACCGUCGCGUCGCCGUAAAACGGCACGCGACAAACCCCCGGUCGCCCAGCCGGCUGCUCGGCGGUACGCGCAAGGUAUCAGGCCGCACUGUUUACGAUGCGUCGAGGCCGUCGCAAGCGCGCGCCACGGUACUCGGAGGUUA